This 400-nucleotide unclassified non-coding RNA is filed under the name fungal sp. RNAcentral describes it as "partial internal transcribed spacer region". The stretch from base 1 to 46 matches the Rfam family "Eukaryotic small subunit ribosomal RNA", at positions 1786 to 1831 of the family's 1831-position model. Lineage: Eukaryota; Fungi. The record is from RNAcentral.
AAGUCGUAACAAGGUUUCCGUAGGUGAACCUGCGGAAGGAUCAUUAACACGUAUCCAACGUAUACACCCCUGUGGUCCUGUGCGCGGCUCUAUAUGUGAGUGGUUUGAAACCUACUUUGUGACCUGCGUGGUUGCUUAUUGCAAGUCUUAAUAAACAAAGCUUACUAAUCUGCGCGAUUAGUAGGAAAAAGGCCUUGACCAAAUCUGCGUGGUUUGGGGGUUCUCUGUUUGUCAAGAUCGGGUUCGACCAGUCUUCUGCGAGAAGACAGCUUCAUAUAGCAGACGUUUUAACCAAACCAUUUACCAAAUUUGUCUAAUCUAGAAAUAAGUAUGAUUUGCUCUGCUUUAUUUCGAUAUACGAAACGUAUAACAACUCUUAACAACGGAUAUCUUGGUUCUC